This 772-nucleotide long non-coding RNA is filed under the name Homo sapiens (human). Its description in RNAcentral is "HSALNT0202523". The record is from RNAcentral. Lineage: Eukaryota; Metazoa; Chordata; Mammalia; Primates; Hominidae.
UCACCUCUCAGUACCACCAAUAUCAUGAUUAUUGAAUGAGGUUGCCUUGAUAAUUCUGCUGAUCUUGCCUGGCUUUACUAAUGUGCCUGAGGUUGUCUAGAAGAUGAAAUGGAAUGGGUGGAUUUGGUGGAAUAGGUGGAUUCGGUGGAAUGGAUGGAUUCAGUGGAAUGGAAAGACGACGAAGCAAAAGUUUUACAUGAUUGACAGCUAAUAUCUGUAACUGAACUGUGAACAGCAAUGAAUGAGAUGUUGUCAACUGUAAAUGGACUGCAUGUAAUGAAGAGGAAAAUGACAAACAUUACAUUACUUAAAAGCAUGAGUAGCUUCUAAGGAAAAAUUGACUGGGAUCCAUCACGGUGGAAUAGGAAGACGAAGGCUGGAGUUGGAUAAUGAUCCUUCUAUUAUGAGCUUUGCAUUCAGCACCACUGACAAAUCAUAAAAGAGACAAUUCUGGGACAUGGACUCUCGGUACAGAUUGCCCAAGACAUCUCACAUGACCAAGCAAUGGGACAUGUCUCUUCUUACCUCAUGAAACGCCCUGCCGCACCCCGCCCCCUUCUGCCACCACCAAGUGAUCAUCCAGCUGACACUUGAGGAACUUUGAUGAUGAGGAGUUCAUCAGUCAUUGGUCAGACUAUUAAAUCUUUCCACAGCUUAGUGAGUUUAUUAUAGUUUUCUUGAUGCAUAAUUCUGCCUGCUACAGAGAUAGAAUUACUUAAGGAUGUUUGAAAUACAGGUAUACCUCAGAGAUACUGCAGGUUUGGUUCCAGAC